Molecule: ribosomal RNA, 336 nt
Filed under: uncultured Sphingobacteriales bacterium
Lineage: Bacteria; Pseudomonadati; Bacteroidota; Sphingobacteriia; Sphingobacteriales
Description: bacterial SSU rRNA
Rfam family: Bacterial small subunit ribosomal RNA
Source: RNAcentral
CAUGGUUGUCGUCAGCUCGUGCCGUGAGGUGUCGGUUAAGUCCCAUAACGAGCGCAACCCUAUCAUUAGUUGCCAUCAGGUCAAGCUGGGGACUCUAAUGAAACUGCCUACGCAAGUAGUGAGGAAGGUGGGGAUGACGUCAAAUCAGCACGGCCCUUACGUCCAGGGCUACACACGUGCUACAAUGGCCGGUACAAAGGGCAGCUACCUGGUGACAGGAUGCUAAUCUCAAAAGCCGGUCUCAGUUCGGAUCGGAGUCUGCAACCCGACUCCGUGAGGCUGGAAUCGCUAGUAAUCGCGCAUCAGCCAUGGCGCGGUGAAUACGUUCCCGGGCCU